GACGAACGCUGGCGGCGUGCUUAACACAUGCAAGUCGAACGGAAAGGCCCUGCUUUUGUGGUUUGCUCGAGUGGCGAACGGGUGAGUAACACGUGAGUAACCUGCCCUUGACCUUGGGAUAACCUCAGGAAACUGGGGCUAAUACCGGAUAGGAGCUCCUGCUCCGUGGUGGGGGUUGGAAAGUGUCGGCGGUUGGGGAUGGACUCGCGGCUUAUCAGCUUGUUGGUGGGGUAGUGGCUUACCAAGGCUUUGGCGGGUAGCCGGCCUGAGAGGGUGACCGGCCACAUUGGGACUAAGAUAGGGACCAGACGCCUACGGGAGGCAGCAGUGGGAAAUAUUGCACAAGGGGCGGAAGCCUGAUGCAACAACGCCGGGUGCGGGAUGACGGCCUUCGGGUUGUAAACCGCUUUCGCCUGUGACGAAGCGUGAGUGACGGUAAUGAGUAAAGAAGCACCGGCUAACUACGUG
Molecule: ribosomal RNA, 468 nt
Filed under: uncultured bacterium
Lineage: Bacteria
Description: partial 16S ribosomal RNA
Rfam family: Bacterial small subunit ribosomal RNA
Source: RNAcentral